RNAcentral lists this ribosomal RNA (587 nucleotides) under uncultured bacterium. RNAcentral describes it as "bacterial SSU rRNA". It matches the Rfam family "Bacterial small subunit ribosomal RNA", at positions 338 to 916 of the family's 1533-position model. The record is from RNAcentral.
CCUACGGGAGGCAGCAGUGGGGAAUUUUGGACAAUGGGCGCAAGCCUGAUCCAGCCAUUCCGCGUGAGUGAAGAAGGCCUUCGGGUUGUAAAGCUCUUUCGGCAGGGAAGAAACGGUGCGGGCCAAUACCCCGCACUAAUGACGGUACCUGAAGAAGAAGCACCGGCUAACUACGUGCCAGCAGCCGCGGUAAUACGUAGGGUGCGAGCGUUAAUCGGAAUUACUGGGCGUAAAGCGUGCGCAGGCGGUUUCGUAAGACAGAUGUGAAAUCCCCGGGCUCAACCUGGGAACUGCGUUUGUGACUGCGAGACUCGAGUGCGGCAGAGGGGGGUGGAAUUCCACGUGUAGCAGUGAAAUGCGUAGAGAUGUGGAGGAACACCGAUGGCGAAGGCAGCCCCCUGGGUCGACACUGACGCUCAUGCACGAAAGCGUGGGGAGCAAACAGGAUUAGAUACCCUGGUAGUCCACGCCCUAGACGAUGCCAACUAGGUGUUGGGGAAGGAGACUUCCUUAGUACCGAAGCUAACGCGUGAAGUUGGCCGCCUGGGGAGUACGGUCGCAAGAUUAAAACUCAAAGGAAUUGACGG